AACGCCAGCUACAGGGUUCACACAUGCAAGUUCGAGGGGCAGCACGAAACUUCAGCUCGCUAAGUUUCGAACGGCGACCGGCGCACGGGCGAGUAACACGUAUCCAACCUGCCGAAGAACUCGGGGAAAGCCUUUCGAAAAGAAAGAUUAAUACCCGACGGCAUAGUUCUUCCGCAUGGUGGAAACUAUUAAAGAAUCUCGGUCAUCGAUGGGGAUGCGUUUCCAUUAGGUUGUUGGCGGGGUAACGGCCCACCAAGCCUUCGAUGGAUAGGGGUUCUGAGAGGAAGGUCCCCCACAUUGGAACUGAGACACGGUCCAAACUCCUACGGGAGGCAGCAGUGAGGAAUAUUGGUCAAUGGACGAGAGUCUGAACCAGCCAAGUAGCGUGAAGGAUGACUGCCCUAUGGGUUGUAAACUUCUUUUAUACGGGAAUAAAGUGAGGCACGUGUGCCUUUUUGUAUGUACCGUAUGAAUAAGGAUCGGCUAACUCCGUGCCAGCAGCCGCGGUAAUACGGAGGAUUCCGAGCGUUAUCCGGAUUUAUUGGGUUUAAAGGGAGCGUAGGCGGACGCUUAAGUCAGUUGUGAAAGUUUGCGGCUCAACCGUAAAAUUGCAGUUGAUACUGGGUGUCUUGAGUACAGUAGAGGCAGGCGGAAUUCGUGGUGUAGCGGUGAAAUGCUUAGAUAUCACGAAGAACUCCGAUUGCGAAGGCAGCUUGCUGGACUGUAACUGACGCUGAUGCUCGAAAGUGUGGGUAUCAAACAGGAUUAGAUACCCUGGUAGUCCACACAGUAAACGAUGAAUACUCGCUGUUUGCGAUAUACAGUAAGCGGCCGAGCGAAAGCGUUAAGUAUUCCACCUGGGGAGUACGCCGGCAACGGUGAAACUCAAAGGAAUUGACGGGGGCCCGCACAAGCGGAGGAACAUGUGGUUUAAUUCGAUGAUACGCGAGGAACCUUACCCGGGCUUGAAUUGCAACUGAAUGAUGUGGAGACAUGUCAGCCGCAAGGCAGUUGUGAAGGUGCUGCAUGGUUGUCGUCAGCUCGUGCCGUGAGGUGUCGGCUUAAGUGCCAUAACGAGCGCAACCCUUAUCGAUAGUUACCAUCAGGUUAUGCUGGGGACUCUGUCGAGACUGCCGUCGUAAGAUGUGAGGAAGGUGGGGAUGACGUCAAAUCAGCACGGCCCUUACGUCCGGGGCUACACACGUGUUACAAUGGGGGGUACAGAAGGCAGCUACACGGCGACGUGAUGCUAAUCCCGAAAGCCUCUCUCAGUUCGGAUUGGAGUCUGCAACCCGACUCCAUGAAGCUGGAUUCGCUAGUAAUCGCGCAUCAGCCACGGCGCGGUGAAUACGUUCCCGGGCCU
Molecule: ribosomal RNA, 1363 nt
Filed under: uncultured bacterium
Lineage: Bacteria
Description: bacterial SSU rRNA
Rfam family: Bacterial small subunit ribosomal RNA
Source: RNAcentral